CAUUUUCCAAACCAUUGACGUAUGUGAAAGAAAACAGACGAUAAAUUUUCAUUCUCAGCGCACAUUUCAAGUCAUCACUUCAAUUAUUCCUAUCAGUCCGGUUGUCUGCUGCACUCCCAUUUUUUUUUUUACCUCCCCCAACAUAUGAAUGAUACUUCUCAAGUUUUCAGAAGUUCUACAAAACAGUGCUUUUUGUGCACCCAAUCUGCAGGUGCAGCAAAGACCUUGGCAAGGGGCAAAUGGAUUAUCACUUACGAAAACAGUUACAUCGUAUUGUUCAUAUUUCUUCAAGGUCUUGAGCAAGGCAUAAAUUCUCAUGAAAACGAAGCUAUUGCAGUCCCAGCAUCAGACAGCUAAACAGCCUUUAAAUCCAAGUCCUAAAUACUGCGCAGCAGUUCCAACUUCAUUAAAAGAAGACAGUGUGCUUUUACUGAUUUAUGAUUCUGCUUCUGAUCCCUGCUACGAAAAUGACUACAUUUCUUCUUUCCGGGAGCUUCAUUUUCUUGUUUAUUCUUUAUACCCUCGCCACAUCUUGAUUUGGCUCGUUGUUCCUUUUUCCUAUGCAUAUACUUCUUUGAGAGUUUGAUCUAAAGAGGCAUAGUGCAUGGGAAAAUGGGGCGACUGAGGUACUUCGCCAUUCGUUCCAAACAGCGCUGUUGAGAUGACUGUUGAAAUGGAGGAAAUGGACAUACGAAGAAAUGAAAGGUUAGUUUAUGUAACACUCACUUCACCAUCAAAAAAUGAACACAAGGUAGUGGUAUUAUUUAACCUCAUUUGUAAUUCAUUGUCAUUUAAUUCUGUGAGAGAAUAGUACUUUAAGUAUCUACCCAACUAUUUAACAUACUGCUCGGUGAACUGUUUAUCUGUAGUAAAUGCAUUGCUAAUAUUUCUGAAUUUGUUAUUCCCAUAAGCCUUCAGAAGUAAGGGGAACAGAGUCACAGACGGCAAAAGUGCAACACCAAACCUCUCUUGGACUCAGUCUUCACGGACUGCACUGCAAGUCGGGGCAUGGAGCCUUGGUCGUGUAGGUUCUGUCAUGUGUAUGUUAUCCAGGUUGGGUGUCUACAACGUACUGGUUAUUCUUAGGACCCAAUCCUACAAGAUUCUAAGUACCUCAUAUUAUGCCAGCUUGUAAACUCUUACUAGUUAAAACAGACACUUGGUAAAUAGUAAGUCAAGUACUAAGCAUACUAAUUUUUUCUCUUUUUUUUAUUCACAGGUAUCUUUCAAGAGGAACUGGAGAUUUUUAUUUUCCUGUUAAUGUUUUAUUAUAUUUCUGUUCAGUUUAUUUUGUUUAGUCUAAAAAGAGAUAUAUCAUAUCAGUUCUGUAAAAAAUAUUAUGAAACCAUGUAAUUGAAUAUACUGUGUGUCAAAUAAAAAGCUAAAGUUUCA
Molecule: long non-coding RNA, 1392 nt
Organism: Phasianus colchicus (ring-necked pheasant)
Lineage: Eukaryota; Metazoa; Chordata; Aves; Galliformes; Phasianidae
Source: RefSeq, a predicted model, not a curated record